GACGAACGCUGGCGGCGUGCCUAAUACAUGCAAGUUGAGCGAUGAAGCUUGGUGCUUGCUCCAAUUUGGAUAGCAGCGGACGGGUGAGUAACGCGUGGGUAAUCUACCUUUGAGAGGGGGACAACUUUUGGAAACGAAUGCUAAUACCGCAUAACAAAUUUAACCACAAGUUUUAAGUUUGAAAGAUGCAAUUGCAUCACUCAAAGAUGAUCCCGCGUUGUCUUAGCUAGUUGGUGAGGGUAAGGCUCAACAAGGCGAUCAUACAUAGCCGACCUGAGAGGGUGAUCUGACACAGUGGGAAUGAGACACGGGCCCAACACCCACGGGAGGCAGAGGAAGAGAAUCUUCGGCGAUGGACGAGAGUCUGACCGGGAGACGCCGCGUGAGUGAAGAAGGGUUUCGGAUCUUAAAACUCUGUGUGUUGAGAAGAAAAUAGGUGAGAGUGGAAAGCUCAUCAAGUGACGGUAACUACACAGAAAAGGACCGCUAACUACGUG
Molecule: ribosomal RNA, 497 nt
Filed under: uncultured bacterium
Lineage: Bacteria
Description: partial 16S ribosomal RNA
Rfam family: Bacterial small subunit ribosomal RNA
Source: RNAcentral